Molecule: ribosomal RNA, 578 nt
Filed under: uncultured bacterium
Lineage: Bacteria
Description: partial 16S ribosomal RNA
Rfam family: Bacterial small subunit ribosomal RNA
Source: RNAcentral
UGGGGAAUUUUGGACAAUGGGCGAAAGCCUGAUCCAGCAAUGCCGCGUGUGUGAAGAAGGCCUUCGGGUUGUAAAGCACUUUUGUCCGGAAAGAAAUCCUUGGCUCUAAUACAGUCGGGGGAUGACGGUACCGGAAGAAUAAGCACCGGCUAACUACGCGCCAGCAGCCGCGGUAAUACGUAGGGUGCAAGCGUUAAUCGGAAUUACUGGGCGUAAAGCGUGCGCAGGCGGUUUGCUAAGACCGAUGUGAAAUCCCCGGGCUCAACCUGGGAACUGCAUUGGUGACUGGCAGGCUAGAGUAUGGCAGAGGGGGUAGAAUUCCACGUGUAGCAGUGAAAUGCGUAGAGAUGUGGAGGAAUACCGAUGGCGAAGGCAGCCCCCUGGGCCAAUACUGACGCUCAUGCACGAAAGCGUGGGGAGCAAACAGGAUUAGAUACCCUGGUAGUCCACGCCCUAAACGAUGUCAACUAGUUGUUGGGGAUUCAUUUCCUUAGUAACGUAGCUAACGCGUGAAGUUGACCGCCUGGGGAGUACGGUCGCAAGAUUAAAACUUAAAUGAAUUGACGGGGUCAUAGCUG